GUUUAAGCAGCCGCGGUAAUACGUAGGGUGCGAGCGUUGUCCGGAAUUAUUGGGCGUAAAGAGCUUGUAGGCGGUUUGUCGCGUCUGCUGUGAAAAUCCGAGGCUCAACCUCGGACUUGCAGUGGGUACGGGCAGGCUAGAGUGUGGUAGGGGAGACUGGAAUUCCUGGUGUAGCGGUGAAAUGCGCAGAUAUCAGGAGGAACACCGAUGGCGAAGGCAGGUCUCUGGGCCACUACUGACGCUGAGAAGCGAAAGCAUGGGGAGCGAACAGGAUUAGAAACCCUUGUAGUCC
RNAcentral lists this ribosomal RNA (292 nucleotides) under uncultured bacterium. RNAcentral describes it as "partial 16S ribosomal RNA". It matches the Rfam family "Bacterial small subunit ribosomal RNA", at positions 505 to 796 of the family's 1533-position model. The record is from RNAcentral.